AACGCGAAGAACCUUACCCGGGCUUGAACUACGGAUGGUAAGUCCCAAGAAACUGGGGCUGACCCGCAAGGGAGUCCGCAGAGGUGCUGCAUGGUUGUCGUCAGCUCGUGUCGUGAGAUGUUGGGUUAAGUCCCGCAACGAGCGCAACCCCUAUCUCAUGUUGCUAAUCCCGUAAGGGAUGCACUCUUGAGAAACUGCCUUCGAUAAGAAGGAGGAAGGUGGGGACGACGUCAAAUCCUCAUGGCCCUUAUGUCCGGGGCUACACACGUGUUACAAUGGCCGGUACAAUGGGAAGCAAUACCGCAAGGUGGAGCCAAACCCACAAAGCCGGCCCCAGUUCAGAUCGUGGGCUGAAACCCGCCCACGUGAAGGCGGAAUCGCUAGUAAUCGCUGAUCAGCAGGCAGCGGUGAAUACGUUCCCGGGCCUUGUACACACCGCGAGC
Molecule: ribosomal RNA, 443 nt
Filed under: uncultured bacterium
Lineage: Bacteria
Description: bacterial SSU rRNA
Rfam family: Bacterial small subunit ribosomal RNA
Source: RNAcentral